Molecule: transfer RNA, 66 nt
Filed under: Pilsbryoconcha exilis
Lineage: Eukaryota; Metazoa; Mollusca; Bivalvia; Unionida; Unionidae
Description: tRNA-Val
Source: RNAcentral
UCUAGGGUAGUAUAAUCUAGUACAAUUUGUUUACACCAAAUAAUUGGCCAUCAACCCCCCCUAGGA